This 1001-nucleotide long non-coding RNA is filed under the name Sorghum bicolor (sorghum). Its description in RNAcentral is "long non-coding RNA (SBIC_LNC009821)". Lineage: Eukaryota; Viridiplantae; Streptophyta; Magnoliopsida; Poales; Poaceae. The record is from RNAcentral.
GCGGUAUCUAAUCUAAUCUAAUACUAUAAUCUAAUAAUGCACAGCACUAUUUCUCUACUAGUGUUAUUUUUCUCUUAUGAUAAAUCAGCGAAGCCUGUUUGUUGGUCUGAAAAACUAUGACUGAAAAUAUUAUUUGAUGAUUUAUUAUGAGAGAAAAACAUUGUUGGCUGACAGAAAAAAUACGGCUUAUAGUGAGUGUGAUCAAAAUGGAGAUGUUUUUGUUCGAUUUAUUAUGAGAGCAGACGUUUAGUUCACUCGAUUUUCACCUCUAAACUACCAUUAACGAUACGAGCCCCUGCGGCAAACAACAAGGCCGGCCGCCUUAUGCUAAUCUCUCUCUCUGUCUCUCUCUUGUUUUUUUUUUUUUGGAUAAUCUAUGGUAUGUUAGUACGGCUUACUGCAGUGUAGGGCGCGUGAGAUGAGAUUCGUGGACGCAAACGGUUAGUUCGGUAGGUUCCCAAUUAAAUUGCUUGAGUGCAUGAGCGCCAUGCAUGGGAUCCUUCCGGGCGGCCGGCAUUUGCAUUUGGUUGGUUAAUAGAAUAUCUUCAAGAGUUUGGCAAAACAACUUAGUAUUCAUAUAAUUUUGGUAAAAUAAAAAAAAACUGUCUCUAAUAGUUGGGUAAAUCCACUUGGCAAAAAUAGCAACUUGGCAUAUCAUGACUCUCAGCACUUAAAAAUAGCAACUUGGUAUAUCAACUUGUCAUCGUGAUUUCUGGCGCCGUGUUUCCUUCCCCGCGCGCACAAAGCCUUCGUGUCUUUCCUUCCUCCGCCCACGCAAAGAAAAUGGCCUCUCCUUCGUCCGCGUGAAGAAAAGGUCACGCCGCCGCCGUUCUUCAUUUCUCCUCAACACAAAACCAAGCCGUCCAGCGUUCACGUACAUGAUUUCUUCUUUUUCCUAUCUUCGAUCUUUAUGCCUAGCUAGGGUAGUCGGCCUCUGCUAGGGCAAGGCCGACGCUAUGGGUAGUCAUCGUUCUUCUAGGGUUCAUGCUAGGUCUGGCGCC